Molecule: ribosomal RNA, 475 nt
Filed under: uncultured bacterium
Lineage: Bacteria
Description: bacterial SSU rRNA
Rfam family: Bacterial small subunit ribosomal RNA
Source: RNAcentral
GAUGAACGCUGGCGGCGUGCCUCAAACAUGCAAGUCGAGCGAGGCUAUGAAUUACCGCAAGGUAAGGCAUAGCCUAGCGGCGAACGGGUGAGUAACACGUGGGUAACCUACCUGGAAGACAGGGAUAACGAUUCGAAAGGGUCGCUAAUACCUGAUAAUAUCCCUUUGCCGGAUGGCAGAGGGAAGAAAGGGGAAACCCGCUUUCAGAUGGGCCCGCGUCCCAUCAGCUAGUUGGUAAGGUAAAGGCUUACCAAGGCGACGACGGGUAGCCGGUCUGAGAGGAUGUACGGCCACACUGGGACUGAGAUACGGCCCAGACUCCUACGGAAGGCAGCAGUUGGGAAUCUUAGGCAAUGGACGAAAGUCUGACCUAGCGACGCCGCGUGAGGGAAGAAGGCCUUCGGGUUGUAAACCUCUGUCAUGGGGGAAGAAGGAAGUGACGGUACCCCAAGAGGAAGCCCCUGCUAACUACGUG